CCUACGUGGGGCAGCAGUGGGGAAUAUUGCGCAAUGGGCGAAAGCCUGACGCAGCGACGCCGCGUGAGGGAUGAAGGUCUUCGGAUCGUAAACCUCUGUCAGCAGGGAAGAACGGUCACUGUGCUAAUCAGCAGUGAAUUGACGGUACCUGCAAAGGAAGCACCGGCUAACUCCGUGCCAGCAGCCGCGGUAAUACGGAGGGGGCGAGCGUUAAUCGGAAUUACUGGGCGUAAAGCGCUCGUAGGCGGUAUGUCAAGUCAAGGGUGAAAUCCCCGCGCUCAACGUGGGAACUGCCUUUGAAACUGGCAAACUGGAGUGUGUGAGAGGAUAGUGGAAUUCCAGGUGUAGGAGUGAAAUCCGUAGAUAUCUGGAGGAACAUCAGUGGCGAAGGCGACUAUCUGGCACAUAACUGACGCUGAGGAGCGAAAGCGUGGGUAGCAAACAGGAUUAGAUACCCCAGUAGUC
This 465-nucleotide ribosomal RNA is filed under the name uncultured bacterium. Its description in RNAcentral is "partial 16S ribosomal RNA". It matches the Rfam family "Bacterial small subunit ribosomal RNA", at positions 338 to 795 of the family's 1533-position model. The record is from RNAcentral.